Molecule: long non-coding RNA, 426 nt
Organism: Magnolia sinica
Lineage: Eukaryota; Viridiplantae; Streptophyta; Magnoliopsida; Magnoliales; Magnoliaceae
Exons: 2
Source: RefSeq, a predicted model, not a curated record
GGCCUGGAUCCUGCAUGCAUUUGGGUGCUUGUUUUGUAGUUGCAGCUUGCAAGUAACAUUCCACGAAUUCCAUACAUUGUUAUUUUUCUUUGUUUAUCUAGUGUUAUUUGGUAUUCUAACAUGAAAGAGUAUGAAGAGAAGGUAGUAGAAUUGGCAAAAAAUCGUCCCAAGCUCCAGGUGCUUACAAAUAAGUUCAAGGAAGUCCAAAUGACUUGCCCCUUAUUCGAUGUAGCACGCUGGGUGAGGAAUCUGGAGAGGGCAUAUUUCAAGAUGUGGAAUCUGUACUGCUCGGGCGGGCAUGAAUCCACAACCCUCCAAAGUGUUUGAAAAUGAUACUGAGUUCCCAUAUGAUAGAUAGCUUGGGACAGAGGGAGCUGUAGAUAGAGAAAAGAAGAAGAGAAAUCAUAUAUUUACAUAUAUAAACAA